CAGUCGACGAUGAUGCCCAGCUUGCUGGGUGGAUUAGUGGCGAACGGGUGAGUAACACGUGAGUAACCUGCCCCUGACUCUGGGAUAAGCGUUGGAAACGACGUCUAAUACUGGAUACGACUGCCGGCCGCAUGGUCUGGUGGUGGAAAGAUUUUUUGGUUGGGGAUGGACUCGCGGCCUAUCAGCUUGUUGGUGAGGUAAUGGCUCACCAAGGCGACGACGGGUAGCCGGCCUGAGAGGGUGACCGGCCACACUGGGACUGAGACACGGCCCAGACUCCUACGGGAGGCAGCAGUGGGGAAUAUUGCACAAUGGGCGAAAGCCUGAUGCAGCAACGCCGCGUGAGGGAUGACGGCCUUCGGGUUGUAAACCUCUUUUAGUAGGGAAGAAGCGAAAGUGACGGUACCUGCAGAAAAAGCACCGGCUAACUACGUGCCAGCAGCCGCGGUAAUACGUAGGGUGCAAGCGUUGUCCGGAAUUAUUGGGCGUAAAGAGCUCGUAGGCGGUUUGUCGCGUCUGCUGUGAAAUCCCGAGGCUCAACCUCGGGCUUGCAGUGGGUACGGGCAGACUAGAGUGCGGUAGGGGAGAUUGGAAUUCCUGGUGUAGCGGUGGAAUGCGCAGAUAUCAGGAGGAACACCGAUGGCGAAGGCAGAUCUCUGGGCCGUAACUGACGCUGAGGAGCGAAAGCGUGGGGAGCGAACAGGAUUAGAUACCCUGGUAGUCCACGCCGUAAACGUUGGGCGCUAGAUGUAGGGACCUUUCCACGGUUUCUGUGUCGUA
Molecule: ribosomal RNA, 780 nt
Filed under: Curtobacterium sp. NCCP-520
Lineage: Bacteria; Bacillati; Actinomycetota; Actinomycetes; Micrococcales; Microbacteriaceae
Description: bacterial SSU rRNA
Rfam family: Bacterial small subunit ribosomal RNA
Source: RNAcentral